Molecule: long non-coding RNA, 343 nt
Organism: Drosophila serrata
Lineage: Eukaryota; Metazoa; Arthropoda; Insecta; Diptera; Drosophilidae
Source: RefSeq, a predicted model, not a curated record
AGUGAGCACACGUGUUCCGCGUUAUUAAAUUCGAGUGAAAUUUAAGGUUAGUGACGUCACCCUUUAAAACAGGCUGAAGCUGAGAGCUCACACGGAAUUGCGAUGGAAAGCGCAUUAAAACCGAUUAGCUGCAUAAUACAUGACCAGGGAAAAGUGCGGAAAAUUUGUGUGGAAAACUGCAGGCAGUCGAGAGACAGAUCGCAUAAUAAUCAAGGAAGUUACGCCAAAAUAAAACCAACGAGUUGAGUGAGCGGAACAAGGAACAAGGAAUAAAAAGGACGAACGAACGAAGAGUAAAGUCGACAAGGAAUACAACGAGUAAAGACAACGAGUAAAGACCAAA